RNAcentral lists this ribosomal RNA (471 nucleotides) under Triticum aestivum (bread wheat). RNAcentral's name for it is "partial small subunit ribosomal RNA". Lineage: Eukaryota; Viridiplantae; Streptophyta; Magnoliopsida; Poales; Poaceae. The record is from RNAcentral.
AUGGGCGUGUUGUAUGUCUCAGUUGAGGCCUCCGUUGCGGCCACAGGUGCGGCGGGAGGAGGUAUGAUCCUGCGGGAUGACAGAGGCGAGAUCAUCUACAACGCAUGUAGGGAACUACGUACAUGCGACAACGCUUUAGAGGCGGAGCUAGCAGCGUGCAGAGAAGGCUUGGAGCUGGCCUUGCACCGAUCUAACCUACCUAUUCUGGUUGAGUUGGAUAGCGCGGAGGCGGUGUCGAUGAUUACAGCGCGCGAGAUGGAUAGAUCGUCACAUCGUGCACUUAUAGAGGAGAUUCGUAGGUUGGCUGGAAACGAUGCUAGGGAGAUCUCUUUUACUCUUUGUAGCCGUCUGCAGAACGGGAUUAGUCAUGAGUUGGCCGCCUAUGGCCGUAGAACUCCGCGCACAGCAGUCUGGCUUACUGCCGGGAUGGACUUUGUUGUAAACCUGGCUCUCGCUGAGAAGCCUCCUUGA